AUCCAGCUGACGAGUCCCAAACAGGACGAAACGUUCGUCCUGGAU
This is a non-coding RNA of Schistosoma margrebowiei, 45 nucleotides long. The record is from Rfam. NCBI's taxonomy places the organism in Eukaryota, Metazoa, Platyhelminthes, Trematoda, Strigeidida, Schistosomatidae.